GUCUGGGUGGCAGAGACAGGUUAAAAUGCAAAAGACCUAAGCUCUUUCUCACAGAGGUUCAAAUCCUCUCCCAAACC
This 77-nucleotide transfer RNA is filed under the name Phelsuma laticauda (broad-tailed day gecko). RNAcentral describes it as "tRNA-Leu". It matches the Rfam family "tRNA". From Rfam's summary of the family: Transfer RNA (tRNA) molecules are approximately 80 nucleotides in length. Their secondary structure includes four short double-helical elements and three loops (D, anti-codon, and T loops). The record is from RNAcentral. Lineage: Eukaryota; Metazoa; Chordata; Lepidosauria; Squamata; Gekkonidae.